CGUUCCCGGGCCUUGUACACACCGCCCGUCACGUCACGAAAGUCGGUAACACCCGAAGCCGAUGGCCCAACCCGCAAGGGAGGGAGUCGUCGAAGGUGGGACUGGCGAUUGGGACG
Molecule: ribosomal RNA, 116 nt
Filed under: uncultured bacterium
Lineage: Bacteria
Description: partial 16S ribosomal RNA
Rfam family: Bacterial small subunit ribosomal RNA
Source: RNAcentral